Molecule: long non-coding RNA, 210 nt
Filed under: Cicer arietinum (chickpea)
Lineage: Eukaryota; Viridiplantae; Streptophyta; Magnoliopsida; Fabales; Fabaceae
Description: long non-coding RNA (CARI_LNC001284)
Source: RNAcentral
UUGGUAAAGGUUACAUGAGUUUUUUUUCUCUUCUAUUGAAGAUCUUCGAAGGGUCCAACGGUUAGUUCAUGAAAUAUUAAUCCUGAAUAUCUGAAACUAUUCACUUGGACUCACAAUUUUAACUCCAAUCAACAACAUAAAACACCUUCUCAGGUUUGGGUUCGUAUUAAUGGUUUAGCACAAGAAUAUUGAUGCCCCAAGAUCAUAUUG